AGAGUUUGAUCAUGGCUCAGAUUGAACGCUGGCGGCAGGCCUAACACAUGCAAGUCGAGCGGUAGCACAGAGAGCUUGCUCUCGGGUGACGAGCGGCGGACGGGUGAGUAAUGUCUGGGAAACUGCCUGAUGGAGGGGGAUAACUACUGGAAACGGUAGCUAAUACCGCAUAACGUCGCAAGACCAAAGUGGGGGACCUUCGGGCCUCAUGCCAUCAGAUGUGCCCAGAUGGGAUUAGCUAGUAGGUGGGGUAACGGCUCACCUAGGCGACGAUCCCUAGCUGGUCUGAGAGGAUGACCAGCCACACUGGAACUGAGACACGGUCCAGACUCCUACGGGAGGCAGCAGUGGGGAAUAUUGCACAAUGGGCGCAAGCCUGAUGCAGCCAUGCCGCGUGUAUGAAGAAGGCCUUCGGGUUGUAAAGUACUUUCAGCGGGGAGGAAGGCGAUAAGGUUAAUAACCUUGUCGAUUGACGUUACCCGCAGAAGAAGCACCGGCUAACUCCGUGCCAGCAGCCGCGGUAAUACGGAGGGUGCAAGCGUUAAUCGGAAUUACUGGGCGUAAAGCGCACGCAGGCGGUCUGUCAAGUCGGAUGUGAAAUCCCCGGGCUCAACCUGGGAACUGCAUUCGAAACUGGCAGGCUAGAGUCUUGUAGAGGGGGGUAGAAUUCCAGGUGUAGCGGUGAAAUGCGUAGAGAUCUGGAGGAAUACCGGUGGCGAAGGCGGCCCCCUGGACAAAGACUGACGCUCAGGUGCGAAAGCGUGGGGAGCAAACAGGAUUAGAUACCCUGGUAGUCCACGCCGUAAACGAUGUCGAUUUGGAGGUUGUGCCCUUGAGGCGUGGCUUCCGGAGCUAACGCGUUAAAUCGACCGCCUGGGGAGUACGGCCGCAAGGUUAAAACUCAAAUGAAUUGACGGGGGCCCGCACAAGCGGUGGAGCAUGUGGUUUAAUUCGAUGCAACGCGAAGAACCUUACCUGGUCUUGACAUCCACAGAACUUNNNNNNNNNNNNNNNNNNNNNNNNNNNNNNNNNUUGGUGCCUUCGGGAACUGUGAGACAGGUGCUGCAUGGCUGUCGUCAGCUCGUGUUGUGAAAUGUUGGGUUAAGUCCCGCAACGAGCGCAACCCUUAUCCUUUGUUGCCAGCGGUUCGGCCGGGAACUCAAAGGAGACUGCCAGUGAUAAACUGGAGGAAGGUGGGGAUGACGUCAAGUCAUCAUGGCCCUUACGACCAGGGCUACACACGUGCUACAAUGGCAUAUACAAAGAGAAGCGACCUCGCGAGAGCAAGCGGACCUCAUAAAGUAUGUCGUAGUCCGGAUUGGAGUCUGCAACUCGACUCCAUGAAGUCGGAAUCGCUAGUAAUCGUAGAUCAGAAUGCUACGGUGAAUACGUUCCCGGGCCUUGUACACACCGCCCGUCACACCAUGGGAGUGGGUUGCAAAAGAAGUAGGUAGCUUAACCUUCGGGAGGGCGCUUACCACUUUGUGAUUCAUGACUGGGGUGAAGUCGUAACAAGGUAACCGUAGGGGAACCUGCGGUUGGAUCACCU
RNAcentral lists this ribosomal RNA (1549 nucleotides) under Klebsiella quasipneumoniae. RNAcentral's name for it is "16S ribosomal RNA". It matches the Rfam family "Bacterial small subunit ribosomal RNA". Lineage: Bacteria; Pseudomonadati; Pseudomonadota; Gammaproteobacteria; Enterobacterales; Enterobacteriaceae. The record is from RNAcentral.